AAAAGCGCAUGUGCUGUGAGCUCGAUGAGUAGGGCGGGACACGUGGUAUCCUGUCUGAAUAUGGGGGGACCAUCCUCCAAGGCUAAAUACUCCUGACUGACCGAUAGUGAACCAGUACCGUGAGGGAAAGGCGAAAAGAACCCCGGCGAGGGGAGUGAAAAAGAACCUGAAACCGUGUACGUACAAGCAGUGGGAGCACCCUUUGGGUGUGACUGCGUACCUUUUGUAUAAUGGGUCAGCGACUUAUAUUCUGUAGCAAGGUUAACCGAAUAGGGGAGCCGGAGGGAAACCGAGUCUUAACCGGGCGUUAAGUUGCAGGGUAUAGACCCGAAACCCGGUGAUCUAGCCAUGGGCAGGUUGAAGGUUGGGUAACACUAACUGGAGGACCGAACCGACUAAUGUUGAAAAAUUAGCGGAUGACCUGUGGCUGGGGGUGAAAGGCCAAUCAAACCGGGAGAUAGCUGGUUCUCCCCGAAAGCUAUUUAGGUAGCGCCUCGUGAAUUCAUCUCCGGGGGUAGAGCACUGUUUCGGCUAGGGGGCCAUCCCGGCUUACCAACCCGAUGCAAACUGCGAAUACCGGAGAAUGUUAUCACGGGAGACACACGGCGGGUGCUAACGUCCGUCGUGAAGAGGGAAACAACCCAGACCGCCAGCUAAGGUCCCAAAGUCAUGGUUAAGUGGGAAACGAUGUGGGAAGGCCCAGACAGCCAGGAUGUUGGCUUAGAAGCAGCCAUCAUUUAAAGAAAGCGUAAUAGCUCACUGGUCGAGUCGGCCUGCGCGGAAGAUGUAACGGGGCUAAACCAUG
RNAcentral lists this ribosomal RNA (805 nucleotides) under Salmonella enterica. Its description in RNAcentral is "partial 23S ribosomal RNA". It matches the Rfam family "Bacterial large subunit ribosomal RNA", at positions 381 to 1191 of the family's 2925-position model. The record is from RNAcentral. Lineage: Bacteria; Pseudomonadati; Pseudomonadota; Gammaproteobacteria; Enterobacterales; Enterobacteriaceae.